This 465-nucleotide ribosomal RNA is filed under the name uncultured bacterium. Its description in RNAcentral is "bacterial SSU rRNA". It matches the Rfam family "Bacterial small subunit ribosomal RNA", at positions 43 to 507 of the family's 1533-position model. The record is from RNAcentral.
CAGGCCUUACACAUGCAAGUCGAACGGCAGCACGGGAGCAAUCCUGGUGGCGAGUGGCGAACGGGUGAGUAAUAUAUCGGAACGUGCCCAGUCUGGGGGAUAACGUAGCGAAAGCUACGCUAAUACCGCAUACGAUCUACGGAUGAAAGCGGGGAUCGCAAGACCUCGCGCGAUUGGAGCGGCCGAUAUCAGAUUAGGUAGUUGGUGAGGUAAAGGCUCACCAAGCCGACGAUCUGUAGCUGGUCUGAGAGGACGACCAGCCACACUGGGACUGAGACACGGCCCAGACUCCUACGGGAGGCAGCAGUGGGAAUUUUGGACAAUGGGCGCAAGCCUGAUCCAGCAAUGCCGCGUGCAGGAUGAAGGCCUUCGGGUUGUAAACUGCUUUGUACGGAACGAAACGGUGAGCUCUAAUACAGUUUGCUAAUGACGGUACCGUAAGAAUAAGCACCGGCUAACUACGUG